This 454-nucleotide ribosomal RNA is filed under the name uncultured bacterium. RNAcentral's name for it is "bacterial SSU rRNA". It matches the Rfam family "Bacterial small subunit ribosomal RNA", at positions 335 to 784 of the family's 1533-position model. The record is from RNAcentral.
ACUCCUACGGGAGGCAGCAGUGGGGAAUAUUGCACAAUGGGGGAAACCCUGAUGCAGCCAUGCCGCGUGUGUGAAGAAGGCCUUGGGUUGUAAAGCACUUUCAGUAGGGAGGAAGGUAGUGUAGUUAACACCUGCACUAUUUGACGUUACCUACAGAAGAAGCACCGGCUAACUCCGUGCCAGCAGCCGCGGUAAUACGGAGGGUGCGAGCGUUAAUCGGAAUUACUGGGCGUAAAGCGCAUGCAGGCGGCCUGUUAAGUCAGAUGUGAAAGCCCGGGGCUUAACCGUCGGAAUUGCAUUUGAAACUGGCAGGCUAGAGUCUUGUAGAGGGGUUAGAAUUUCAGGUGUAGCGGUGAAAUGCGUAGAGAUCUGAAGGAAUACCAGUGGCGAAGCGGCCCCUGGACAAAGACUGACGCUCAGAUGCGAAAGCGUGGGAGCAAAACAGGAUUAGAUA